UGGGGAAUAUUGCACAAUGGGCGCAAGCCUGAUGCAGCCAUGCCGCGUGUAUGAAGAAGGCCUCCGGGUUGUAAAGUACUUUCAGUCGGGAGGAAGGUGUCAAGGUUAAUAACCUUGGCAAUUGACGUUACCGACAGAAGAAGCACCGGCUAACUCCGUGCCAGCAGCCGCGGUAAUACGGAGGGUGCAAGCGUUAAUCGGAAUUACUGGGCGUAAAGCGCACGCAGGCGGUUGAUUGAGUCAGAUGUGAAAUCCCCGGGCUUAACCCGGGAAUUGCAUCUGAUACUGGUCAGCUAGAGUCUUGUAGAGGGGGGUAGAAUUCCAUGUGUAGCGGUGAAAUGCGUAGAGAUGUGGAGGAAUACCGGUGGCGAAGGCGGCCCCCUGGACAAAGACUGACGCUCAGGUGCGAAAGCGUGGGGAGCAAACAGG
Molecule: ribosomal RNA, 429 nt
Filed under: Chloroflexota bacterium
Lineage: Bacteria; Bacillati; Chloroflexota
Description: Chloroflexi bacterium partial 16S ribosomal RNA
Rfam family: Bacterial small subunit ribosomal RNA
Source: RNAcentral